AUGCAUAAGGGGAAGAUUGACGAGAUCGAUCAACAUUUCUCCAGUUUUCAAGGCUAUAAGUCCCCCCAGUACUGCACGGAGACGUGGUCCCAGGGGAGCGUGGACACGAGUCCAGCUGUGACGCCCAGCAGCAUCCAGUCUGAUGGUAUACAGGAGGAUGUGCUGAUCACGCCAAUCAUACAGAUUGUGCCAAUCGGGCCAAUCACGCAGCACGUCACCUGCCCCAAUGGACAACAGUCUGUUCAGACCAGCUGCACUCCUAUGCCUGAGGUCCACGGCCCGGCCCCCUACUGUGAGAAAGACACACCCCCUCCAGACCCUGGCCCCGCCCACCCGGAGCUCAUGUCUGUCCCAGGCAUGGACUACAGCAUGAUUCUAAACUCUGCUCCCUACUGUGAGGAAGACACGCCCCCUCCAGACCCUGGCCCCGUCCACCCGGAGCUCAUAAGCCCCGCCCCCUACUGUAAUGUAGCAUUGCAUCAGUGUCUCAGCAGUGGAUGCUCAGCAGUGAAUGGGUGCCGUCAGAAUGAGAGUCCAAACAGCUGAUAAAAACAUCACAAUAAUCCACAGCACUCCAGCCCAUCCAGUCCAGUAAGACUAAAGAUGAAACAAAUCCAGCAUUUAACUUCAAACGAUGGUCUGAGGACGAGCACAUUUUCAGCUUUUGGGUGAACUAUUCCUUUAAAAUGAUGUCAAACAAAAACAGAUUAAAUUUGAUUGAAGAUCACAAUGAUAUAAAUGUUAUAUUUUUGACUAACAUGCAUGAAGAAUUGUACAAAGGCCAUUUUUCACGGUUCACAUAAAAUGUUGCUCUAUAUUUUGAGAAAAAAGGUCGGGAAGUCAAUCUGGAUUAGUAAACACUUAUGAACAUUAUGAUAUUAAACACACAGGGCUUAUGACAAACCCACACAGCGGCCCAAUAUGUUCAACGAUUCGACGGAGCGAUCAAUGUAAUGAAAACACAAGCAAACGCUGCAGGCUGUUACCGAACCCAAGUUUAAUCUGCACACAGUUCAAUGUUAUAACCAAUCCCAACUGAGCAGGCGACCCAUGGACGAGGUGAAUGAAGCUCUGUGCUUGCAGUAGGUUAAAGAGAACAUGUUAGCAUAUCCUUAACACUUACAGCUGCAGCGAUGGAGACAGUGUGUAAACUAAUUAGGCUUAAUGUAUGUCACAGCACUGACACUAAACACACACACACACAGAGGGAUUACACACUAAUACUGCCAUGGCGUAAGCAUUGAGGAUAAGCUGCAUGUUCUAUAGCUUGAUGUUUUUCAUGGUAUAGAUGGUAAACUGUACAUAUAUAUAUAUAUAUACACACACACACAAAAAUUGACUGGGUUUGCAAUGGUAUCAAUUUUUCAGGUCGACUUGACCCACAAAGGCAGAGAUAGUGACAAUGAAAUAUACAUCAUGCAUCUGAAUAUAUAAAACCACACCCACAGAAUCGUGUUCCAAUUUAUAUGCAGUGUUUCAAAGGAAAUACCAUUUAACCACAGAGAGAGAGAGAGAGAGAGAGAGAGAGAGAGAGAGAGAUGAUUUUUAGCAUGUUCAGUGUGAAUCCGUGGGGUUUUCUCACCUGUUUUCUGGUCUAGUGGGUGAGAAUGGUGUAUCUGACCGUUAAGUAAAGUAGCAUCACACCUCUGAGUAUGAGGAGCAGAAGUAUUGAUGCUUGACUCAGAGAAUAAAUAUGAAAUGGCAGUGGGCGUGGCUCGGGUU
Molecule: long non-coding RNA, 1722 nt
Organism: Cyprinus carpio (common carp)
Lineage: Eukaryota; Metazoa; Chordata; Actinopteri; Cypriniformes; Cyprinidae
Source: Ensembl